GACGCGUGUCGGUCCAAAAGACAGAACGGCGCAUUUAAUUAGGGCUAGCGCUUCGGACGCCGAAGCGCCCCAUCGGAUCGUGCGGCCCCAUCAUGAGCCCACGACGCGAGGACGCUUCGCAAAAAGCGUCCCAAUAAUGAGACUUUUCGGGAAGGAAGAGACGCCGCCUAUUAAAGACACCUCGAAGCGCUUGAUAAUUCAAAAUGCGCAAUAAAUUAGGAUUUUCGGAAUCCGUAAUGACCCAACUGGAGCUACUUCCCACGUUCUAGCUGGUAGCCAACUAGAACUCGGAAGUCGGGGGGUAGUGUUGGGGGAAAAAUCCCAAGUCAUACCGUCACGGAGGCGCUCGGCCAACGGGCGCCGGCCAGAAAGGCGCUCGGCCAAAGAGUGCCAACCGAAAAGGCGCUCGACCGAAGAGUGCCGACCAGCAGGGUGCUCGGCUAGAGAGCACCGACCGGAGAGAGCGCCAAGAAGAGG
RNAcentral lists this long non-coding RNA (477 nucleotides) under Phoenix dactylifera (date palm). RNAcentral describes it as "long non-coding RNA (PDAC_LNC013624)". The record is from RNAcentral. Lineage: Eukaryota; Viridiplantae; Streptophyta; Magnoliopsida; Arecales; Arecaceae.